Molecule: long non-coding RNA, 946 nt
Organism: Syngnathus typhle (broad-nosed pipefish)
Lineage: Eukaryota; Metazoa; Chordata; Actinopteri; Syngnathiformes; Syngnathidae
Exons: 3
Source: RefSeq, a predicted model, not a curated record
CACAAGCUCCCAUUGGUCCAUUUCCUUCUGAGCCGGAAGCACGCAACAUUCUCAUUGGUUGUGCUACCCGUCACUCAAAAGGUGGUCGUCGUUAGGCGGGAUAAGAGCGACGUUCGGUUGAGGAACAAUAAAUGCGGCCUAGCUGAGCUCAUUUGACUGACGGCAGCCCUGCAGAGACCAACCUUGCCGCUCGCCAAUGGCUCCAUCUGUCUGCGGCCCUGCAAGAAGGAUAUUGGCGUUUCACCGUACUGGCUCUCUGCGUGACCCAUGCUGCACUGCGAGGUGCACGCCAACGCCAGCUCUGCUGGACGGAAGAGUUUUGCUUUCUGGAACAUUGCAGGAAGAAGGCAAAGAACGUCUUCGCAACUCCAACCAAAUCCCUUCUCUCACCAUUACACUCAUUUGGCUUCCAGCUUGCUCACAAGGGGAAGACCAAGAACCCAGAGAAGGUGGAGUAUUUCCAGCCUCCCAUGAGGUUCCCCCUCUCAAGUCGAAGGUAAGCCUUGUCCCCUUUCUCCAUGAUCACCAGACCAGCAUUUGUGGCGGCUUCCCUGGUCACAUCCUGGUCCCCGGCGAAAGCGGAAAUCAUCGGCCAGCCGUUCACCAUCAAGCUGACCUGGAGGAAAUCAGUCCAUGCUGAAGCUCAGCAGCUACAUGACAGCUGAGAGCGACUUACCUGAAUGGUCUGUCUGUUGUAAGCUUUCACAACAUGAAAGUUAAAGCUGUAAACACCUCUCCUCGGUGCAAGGAAGAUGCUGCUCUCUUGAUCAAAAUGACUGCCCACAUUCACCAAGAUCUGAAAGGAAGGGUCAGAAAACACUGCCUGACUUGUCUUAACAAGUUACAAAAUAUUACACAUAUUCAGUGAGAAAAAAAAAAAAAUCAUAAAAUAUCACAGUUAAUCAACAACCUGUAACAUUUUAGGAAAUAAACCUUGUCAAUAAAA